Molecule: ribosomal RNA, 254 nt
Filed under: uncultured bacterium
Lineage: Bacteria
Description: partial 16S ribosomal RNA
Rfam family: Bacterial small subunit ribosomal RNA
Source: RNAcentral
UACGGGGGGAGCAAGCGUUGUUCGGAUUUACUGGGCGUAAAGGGCGCGUAGGCGGUCGUGACAAGUCACUUGUGAAAUCUCCGGGCUUAACUCGGAACGGUCAAGUGAUACUGUCGGACUAGAGUACAGAAGGGGCAACUGGAAUUCUCGGUGUAGCGGUGAAAUGCGUAGAUAUCGAGAGGAACACCUGCGGCGAAGGCGGGUUGCUGGGCUGAUACUGACGCUGAGGCGCGAAAGACAGGGGAGCGAACGGG